Peromyscus eremicus (cactus mouse) is the source of this 727-nucleotide long non-coding RNA. RefSeq lists it as uncharacterized. Lineage: Eukaryota; Metazoa; Chordata; Mammalia; Rodentia; Cricetidae. The transcript is spliced from 3 exons. The record is from RefSeq and is a predicted model, not a curated record.
CCUACACAGGGGGAUGACCUAGUAGCUAUGAAGAACACAAAGUUGGUGGGAAACCUGCUGGCCAAAUAUUGCUGCUUGUGAGAUGCUGCAAUUCGGAUUUCAGAUGACCAACUCCAGCUAACAGCCUUCUCUCUGGAAGAAGACCAUUCUACAAUUAAGUAGCCUGUUUUCAGAAGUCCUUCACAUCACUACAUUUUUUCAUUAUAAGUUGAGAAGAAAUGAAACCUUUGGAAUAAAUUGAACUGCGGAAGUUAAAAGACCUCUAUAAUGAAACUUGUAGAACACUCGAGAGAAGCUAGCUACAAAGAAGGUGUGGUCUAUCAUGGACUGUAAAAAAAGAAUAUUGUGAAAAUGGCCACCCAACCAGAAACAGUCUACAGAUUCAACAUUAUUCCCACCCAAUUUCAAAUGCCAUUCUUCACAGGAAUAGAAAGAAGCAACCCUUCAAUUUAUUUGGAAGCACAAAGGAUCAUGGAUAAUCACUGCAAUCCUGAGGAAAAAGAAUAUUGGCAGAGGGUGGCCGGAAAGUUGGUUCAGUUAGUAACGGCACUUUGCACCAAUACUGAUGACCCAAGGUCUAGCCUUAGAACCCAUGUGGUAGAAAGAGGACCAGUUCCUGCAAGUUGUCCUCUUAUCUCUACUCUCCCACUAGGCAUGAAUAUAUUUCUCUCUCAGAAAAUACAAUAAAUAAAAUUAAAAAUUAAAUAAACAAACACUGAAGCUAUCA